GAUGAAGAACGUAGCGAAAUGCGAUAAGUAAUGUGAAUUGCAGAAUUCAGUGAAUCAUCGAAUCUUUGAACGCGCAUUGCGUCCGCCAGUAUUCUGGCGGGCAUGCCUGUUCGAGCGUCAUUUCAACCAUCAAGCCCUGCUUGUGUUGGGGUCCUGCGGCUGCCCGCAGGCCCUGAAAACCAGUGGCGGGCUCGCUAGUCACACCGAGCGCAGUAAUACAUCUCGCUUUGGUCGUGCGGCGGGUUCUUGCCGUUAAACACCCCCCUUUCCAAAGGUUGACCUCGGAUCAGGUAGGAAUACCCGCUGAACUUAAGCAUAUCAAUAAGCGGAGGA
Molecule: unclassified non-coding RNA, 333 nt
Filed under: soil metagenome
Description: partial contains 5.8S ribosomal RNA, internal transcribed spacer 2, and large subunit ribosomal RNA
Rfam family: 5.8S ribosomal RNA (bases 1-120)
Source: RNAcentral